AUGGUUUACGGUGCAGAGGUGGUUGUCCUAAGUGACAUCCUUCAUGAUUCGCCCCGUGUGGCGGCUUAUGUUGAAGCUGAUAAUGAAAAAGAACAUCAGGAUGCUCUGGAUAUAUUGGAUGAGGAACGUGACCUCGCGGUGGCUCGUUCGGCGAUUUAUCAGCAAGAUCUGCGUCGUUAUCAUAGCCGUCGGGUUAAAACCCGGACGUUCCAAGAAGGCGACUUGGUGCUCUGGCUCAUCCAGGAUCAAACGGAUAUGCACAAAUUGUCCCUGCCUUGGGAAGGGACUUUUGUGGUCAGCAAGAAUCUGAACAACGGGUCAUACUACCUCAUCGACAUUCGAGAAAACAAGGACUCGCGCACAUCGGAGGAGGAGACCCACCGACCGUGGAACAUUGCUCAUCUACGACCAUAUUACACUUGA
Molecule: ribosomal RNA, 423 nt
Filed under: Triticum aestivum (bread wheat)
Lineage: Eukaryota; Viridiplantae; Streptophyta; Magnoliopsida; Poales; Poaceae
Description: partial small subunit ribosomal RNA
Source: RNAcentral